UACGGAGGGGGCUAGCGUUGUUCGGAAUUACUGGGCGUAAAGCGCGUGUAGGCGGUUGUCCAAGUUGGAUGUGAAAGCCUUGAGCUUAACUCAAGAAAUGCAUUCAGGACUGGAUGACUAGAGGACCGGAGAGGAUAGUGGAAUUCCCAGUGUAGUGGUGAAAUACGUAGAGAUUGGGAAGAACACCAGUGGCGAAGGCGGCUAUCUGGACGGUUUCUGACGCUAAGACGCGAAAGCGUGGGGAGCAAACAGG
RNAcentral lists this ribosomal RNA (253 nucleotides) under uncultured bacterium. Its description in RNAcentral is "partial 16S ribosomal RNA". It matches the Rfam family "Bacterial small subunit ribosomal RNA", at positions 524 to 776 of the family's 1533-position model. The record is from RNAcentral.